GCAUAAUAAUUUGCCUUUUAAUUGAAGGCUUGUAUGAAUGGAUAAACGAGAAUAAAGCUGUCUCAAUUUUAGUAAUAAAAAUUAAUAUUCAAAUGAAGAAGUUUGAAUAAAAUAAAAAGACAAGAAGACCCUGUUGAGCUUUAUCUCAGAUAAGAUAUAAUAAAUUUGAUUAUUGAUUUUCUUGAAAUGAGAUUUAAUUGGGGCGAUUAAGGAAGAAAUAAAAUCUUCCUAAAAGUUAAUAGAUUUUUGAAUCUUAAAAUGUAUCCAUUAUUAGUGAAUAAAUAAUUAGCUACCACAGGGAUAACAGGCUAAUUUCUUUUAAGAGUUCAUAUCGAAAAAGAAGUUUGGCACCUCGAUGUUGGCUUAGGAUAAGAAUUAAAUGCAGAAGUUUAAUAGACUGGGUUUGUUCAACCCUUAAAUUCCU
This 424-nucleotide ribosomal RNA is filed under the name Spiophanes cf. convexus VVP-2020. Its description in RNAcentral is "partial 16S ribosomal RNA". It matches the Rfam family "Bacterial large subunit ribosomal RNA", at positions 1959 to 2597 of the family's 2925-position model. The record is from RNAcentral. Lineage: Eukaryota; Metazoa; Annelida; Polychaeta; Spionida; Spionidae.